CCUACGGGUGGCAGCAGUGGGGGAUAUUGCACAAUGGGGGAAACCCUGAUGCAGCGACGCCGCGUGAGCGAAGAAGUCUUUCGGUAUGUAAAGCUCUAUCAGCAGGGAAGAAGAAAUGACGGUACCUGAGUAAGAAGCACCGGCUAAAUACGUGCCAGCAGCCGCGGUAAUACGAAGGGUGCAAGCGUUAUCCGGAUUUACUGGGUGUAAAGGGUGCGCAGGGGGCGUGGCAAGCCUGAUGUGAAAGCUCGCGGCCCAACCGUAGGAGUGCAUUGGAAACUAGCAGGCUGGAGUGCAGGAGAGGUAGGCGGAAUUCGUGGUGUAGCGGUGAAAUGCGUAGAUAUCAGGAGGAACACCGGUGGCGAAGGCGGCCUACUGGACGGUGACUGACGCUGAGGCUCGAAAGUGUGGGGAGCAAACAGGAUUAGAUACCCGGGUAGUC
This 442-nucleotide ribosomal RNA is filed under the name uncultured bacterium. RNAcentral describes it as "partial 16S ribosomal RNA". It matches the Rfam family "Bacterial small subunit ribosomal RNA", at positions 338 to 795 of the family's 1533-position model. The record is from RNAcentral.